This 2806-nucleotide long non-coding RNA is filed under the name Mus musculus (house mouse). RNAcentral describes it as "long non-coding RNA chr5:16225014-16227820". The record is from RNAcentral. Lineage: Eukaryota; Metazoa; Chordata; Mammalia; Rodentia; Muridae.
UUUUGUAUUGUUUUCUUGUUGUUGUCAUUGUUGUUGUUGAGGUUAACGACACACACAUAGAUUGCCUAAGUGCCAGUACCUCCUAUACUACAUUUCACCAGAGGAUUCCCACCUGCCCUUUUAUAAGCACCGCUCAGAACCAAGGCUUCCCAUGAUAAUUGUCUGCUAGAACUCAGUAAAUAAUAUGGUUUCUAAAUUUCUUCCGUUUGUAUUGCAUAUCAUUUAUGAAGCUUAGUAUAGUCGAGAAAAUCGUUUCUAAAUUUUUUAAAUGAAUAUUCAAAGAUUUGUAAGAUGUCUGGUUAAUGCUACAAUUUUCUUACUGACUAGCAGAGAGUACAGAUGAAAUUUUGUGUUUCUUCAUUUCUAAAAAGGAACCCACAGAGGGAAGAAAGGAAAAAUUAUAUGUGUGCAAUUCAGUGUCUCAAUAAAUUAGAAGCUGGAAUCAGAUGUAUCAUCAGCUAGCUUUGAUGAUGGGUAGAACAAGUGACAGGCCAUUCAGAGGUUGGAGAAGGGAGAUAAUGAAAUCUUAAAUUAAAAUAGCUCCCACAACAGAUUGACAGUACUGUUCACAGCAAAUUAAAAAAGGAUUGACAAUUGGAGAGAAAAUAGCCGGCUGGAAUCUGAGACGAGGAUUUUUAAAAUCAUCUGUCAUUUUGCUUCAUGGGUAAAAUCUUAACUGAGGUCUCUGUAGAGAUAAAAAUGCAUUUAAAAUGUUUCAAAAAUCCAACUAAAUGGAGAAAGAUCUUUAAGUGAGUUAUGAAUUUCAAGAUCCCUUUGUCUUACAAUAAAAAGACUGUAUUUCAAAAGCAUGAAAGAAUAAGCUUUACAAAGGGUCAGAUGGAUUUCAGAAGUGUUUUCAAUCCGUCAUGCACAGUCAUGUACCAUUGUCAGCUUACUGUAUAGUACUAUAUGGGGUUGGAAGCAUACUGCAGAAGUUGUGGAGUAUUCGUGUUGAUACCAGACUCUUCUAAUUUUGUUGCAGUUUUAUAAAUAAAAAGCAUUCAAAAUAAUUGUUUUUACAAGUAUAUGGAAAAUGACAUAAGAAAUUCCUCAAUGUUCUGUUUCCUGGCCAUGAGAAUCAGUUGCUCUCACUCCUUCUUUUUUAUCACCAGUUUCAUGAAACCUCAAUCGUCAGUGCUAGGCAAAAGUCCUCAGAAGUGUUACAUGAAACGAUGGAUGGUGCAAGUCUUUAGAUUUUAAGGAGUUGAUUCUUUAAUGUGGAUGGCAUUCCUUAUAUUCACCCCCCUAAUCUUCACAUUUUGUAAAUCUCUGUUCCUUAUUGACCUGAAGAAUAAUAUUUUCACCCCAUGGUAAUUUAUUUCCUCAUCUCCAUAAUCAUCAGCUCCUUGUAAAACUAAAAACAAAAGAAUUAAGUACACAAGAGGAAAUAAAUAACCAGAAAACUGAUUGCAUUUUCAGAUUAUAUGCUUAAUAUUCUUUUUAAUAAACAGAUAAAUGGAUAAAAUUGAUCAUUUCACAGCUGUUACCUAGCAUUGAAUAUUUUUUAUCCUCAAAUUAGAAACAUGUGUUCAUAUGCAUUGUUUCAUUCACAGUUCUGUGUGUGAAUGCAUUUAAUCAAUAACUUCACAUGUAUUUUAAUUUUCUAGUAUUUUAACCUUAUAAUUUCUUUGUGUAGUUAAGAUAUAUACACAUGUGUAUGUACUACAUAUAUAAAGCAUAUAUGUCUGUACAUAUAAAUAACAUGUUUUAUUUAUAUACUUAGGAUAUAUAUUAUACAUUUCAUUUAUAUACAUGAACAUAACAAAAAUAAAUAAAACAGGAAACAAGGAGGGGUACUGGCAGUGUUUGAAGGGAGGAAAGGGAAAGAGAAAUGGUGUAAUUAUAAUCUCAAAUAAUAAAAAUUAUAAUUUAAUAAUAAUAGAAUUACUUUUCCUCCUUGAUAUCUAUUCUUGGAGAAAAGUACGUAUUGUAUCAAAUAUUAGUGUAUAAUUCAGUUAUUUAUGAUUGAAACCAAGCUAUUUGAGAAGUUAAUUCUCUAAAAGGCAGAAUUUUUUUUAUUACAAUUUAAGACAUAAUUCCACAUAAGUGUUUCUGAAAAUUUUUUGAGAAGUCUAAGCAUCCUUCAAUUAUCCAGAUGAUAAAACUGAAUGCUAAACUUUAAGGCAGUGUUAUGUAAUGAUUUACUAGGAUACCAUCUAUAUGCUUUAAUUUUGCUCAGGUCAGUUUUAAUAUUUACUGAUAUAGAGAAUCCACUUCUACCACAACUUUUGUAAAGUUAGCCCCACUUUCAUAUAUUCUAAGACAUACUAUAAAUAGAAGAUACUUAGGUAGAUAGAUGAUAAAUGGUCGAUAGGUAGGUAGAUAAAUAGAUAGAUGGUAGAUUAAGUACUAAUUGGCUGCAAUUAUGUUUAACUAUCACAAGAAUGGGCAAAUCAAUAUAAAAAUUAAAAUAUAAUAAACUCUAUUGAGAGUCUCAAAUAUGAUCUGAUUUUGAUUAUUUAAUAUUUAAAGCAUGUACAUAAAUAUAUCGACAUACAAACAAACAUAAAACAUGUUCUGAUGUUUCUAUCUUGAAGCAUCAAUAUUCAUCUACUCAUCUUUAUUAUAUUUGUAUCCUAUUAUUCAUAAAAUUCCUUAUUAAUCCAAUUCAAAUUACUUUGCCUUCCAAAUUUCUCAAUAAAUGUUUAAAGUGUGAAAAAUUCAGAGGUAGACGUGAUGUUUCACAUCUGUAUUCCCAGCAUUUGAAAGCUGAUGGAAGGGAUAGUAAGAAUAGUUAAAGUACAAGCCUUUCAACUCUAUUCAAGGUCUAUGAGCAGCCAUGGCCAUGCCAAAAAUGAAAGUUAAU